This is a long non-coding RNA of Erigeron canadensis, 840 nucleotides long. RefSeq lists it as uncharacterized. The record is from RefSeq and is a predicted model, not a curated record. The transcript has 6 exons. NCBI's taxonomy places the organism in Eukaryota, Viridiplantae, Streptophyta, Magnoliopsida, Asterales, Asteraceae.
GUGAGAAAAUUUGUUUAAUACUGUACACGAGUAAAGAUGACUGUGUUUAUGCAGGAAAAAAAAUAAAAUAAAAAAGUAAAACUAACUUUUUUUCAUCUCCUCCUCCUCAAAGGCCUGUUUUGGGUUAAAUAGUAAUUAGAAUGAGCAUUAACAGCCGUAAUUCACUUCCCAGAGCUGCUAUGCUAUCAACAUAUUCUGCUUCGACAGGUUUUUUAAGUGUUACCAGGGCCGGUCUCAUUGCAGCUCCUCAUAUAGUCAUAUGUCUGGCCAAGAUCAGAUGUGGAGUAUUGUUUACAUGCUUUAUCAGCCAGGAGAUUGUCCAAGACCUGUAACUAGAAGGAUAUUGUUUGGUUUGCAUAUCUUCUAUAUACCAUUGUUGGUCAACUGCCAACUCGAGCAUCUCCGGCGUAAUUUUUUGCUCGUUUAUUGAAGGAUGUCAUACCCCUUCAAUCAAUAUAUUAGAUUACAUGGCAGUGGAUCUUGUCUUAUUUCACUGAAGCGAAAUCCCCUCUUGCAACAUUGUAAUGAAUCCCUGGGAUAGUAGGCGGGUGCAGCUGGUCUUGGUUGGUAAAUAUAUUACUAGUAUUAGAUGACCCGCCCCUUAAACCUUGAUAGAGAGAGAUGCUCUGGACACUAAUUUCCUUGGCACCAUACUCCAUCACAUGAGAUCCUUCAGAGCUGUUAUCAUUGAGACACUAUACAAAUCGCCUAAGCAAGUGUCAUACUCAGGUGGAGGAGGCGGCUUCAUACCAGGACAAUAAGUUCCCCAACUACUUUCCUCUGCGUUUGAAGCUGUUGUUACAUAAAUGUUCAUAUUUUCAUUCAACAGGCCUUCGAAUA